AUUGAACGCUGGCGGCAGGCUUAACACAUGCAAGUCGAACGAGUGGCGGACGGGUGAGUAAUGCAUGGGAAUGUAGCUUAUGGAGGGGGAUAACUACGGGAAACUGUAGCUAAUACCGCGUACCAUAGGAUGAGCCGAUGUGGGAUUAGGUAGUUGGGGGGGUAAAGGCGCACCAAGCCGACGAUCCCUAGCUGGUCUGAGAGGAUGACCAGCCACACUGGGACUGAGACACGGCCCAGACUCCUACGGGAGGCAGCAGUGGGGAAUAUUGCGCAAUGGGGGCAACCUGACGCAGCCAUGCCGCGUGAAUGAAGAAGGCCUUCGGGUUGUAAAGUUCUUUCGUUAGCGAAGCGUUAACUACAGAAGAAGCACCGGCUAACUCCGUGCCAGCAGCCGCGGUAAUUC
Molecule: ribosomal RNA, 405 nt
Filed under: uncultured bacterium
Lineage: Bacteria
Description: partial 16S ribosomal RNA
Rfam family: Bacterial small subunit ribosomal RNA
Source: RNAcentral